GGGCGUAAGGAUGCGUAGGCUGGAAAUCAAGUCGAGAGUGAAAUCCAACGGCUCAACCGUUGAACUGCUCUCGAAACUGGUUACCUAGAAUAUGGGAGAGGUAGAUGGAAUUGGUGGUGUAGGGGUAAAAUCCGUAGAUAUCACCAGGAAUACCGAUUGCGAAGGCGAUCUACUGGAACAUUAUUGACGCUGAGGCAUGAAAGCGUGGGGAGCAAACAGGAUUAGAUACCCUGGUAGUCCACGCCCUAAACGAUGCACACUAGUUGUUGCGAUGCUAGUCAUUGCAGUAAUGCACUUAACAGAUUAAGUGUGCCGCCUGGGGAGUACGGUCGCAAGAUUAAAACUCAAAGGAAUAGACGGGGACCCGCACAAGCGGUGGAGCAUGUGGUUUAAUUCGAAGAUACACGAAGAACCUUACCUGGGCUUGAUAUCCUAAGAAUCCUGUAGAGAUAUGGGAGUGCUAGUUUACUAGAACUUAGAGACAGGUGCUGCACGGCUGUCGUCAGCUCGUGUCGUGAGAUGUUGGGUUAAGUCCCGCAACGAGCGCAACCCUCGUGAUUAGUUGCUAACAGUUCGGCUGAGCACUCUAAUCAGACUGCCUUCGCAAGGAGGAGGAAGGUGAGGACGACGUCAAGUCAUCAUGGCCCUUAUGCCCAGGGCUACACACGUGCUACAAUGGCUAGGACAAAGAGAAGCGAUACUGCGAAGUGGAGCAAAUCUUAAAACCUAGUCUCAGUUCGGAUUGGAGUCUGCAACUCGACUCCAUGAAGCUGGAAUCGCUAGUAAUCGUAGAUCAGAUAUGCUACGGUGAAUACGUUCCCGGGUCUUGUACUCACCGCCCGUCACACCAUGGGAGUUG
This 859-nucleotide ribosomal RNA is filed under the name uncultured bacterium. RNAcentral's name for it is "bacterial SSU rRNA". It matches the Rfam family "Bacterial small subunit ribosomal RNA", at positions 556 to 1413 of the family's 1533-position model. The record is from RNAcentral.